This 207-nucleotide ribosomal RNA is filed under the name uncultured bacterium. RNAcentral describes it as "partial 16S ribosomal RNA". It matches the Rfam family "Bacterial small subunit ribosomal RNA", at positions 568 to 774 of the family's 1533-position model. The record is from RNAcentral.
UGCGUAGGCGGUUUGGUAAGUCAGAUGUGAAAUCCCGGGGCUCAACCCCGGAACUGCAUCCGAUACUGCCAGACUAGAGGACUGGAGAGGUGACUGGAAUUCUCGGUGUAGCAGUGAAAUGCGUGGAUAUCGAGAGGAACACUCGUGGCGUAAGCGAGUCACUGGACAGUAUCUGACGCUGAGGCACGAAGGCCAGGGUAGCGAAAG